This 392-nucleotide long non-coding RNA is filed under the name Anas platyrhynchos platyrhynchos (common mallard). Its description in RNAcentral is "lncRNA (ENSAPLG00000017741.1)". Lineage: Eukaryota; Metazoa; Chordata; Aves; Anseriformes; Anatidae. The record is from RNAcentral.
UCUUCAAUUAUAGAUUAUUUUUUUUCUCCUUGUGAAUAGGACUUUCUUAUAAAUUCUUUCAGGUGCUGCUUCUCACUGCUGCUCACUUUUCACUAGAAAAAAAAUGCCUUUCUUGAGCUAUAAGGGAAAAUCCAAGUAAGGAAGAAAAACAGGUAACUAAAGCAGGUCGGAAGCUGGUCGGUUCUCCCAGUCAAGCUUGUGAACCAGCACGCAGACAAAGGUGAGUUUGCAUGCAAAUGGAAAUUGAUGCCUGAGCAUUCAUGACAGUAUGGAGGUACUAACAUUUGAGUAUUAGGCCCUGAGGAUGCAUCCAGUACCUUGUGUGAAGGCUGUGUAGAACCUGAAACUCCAAAAUCUCUAUUCAGAGCUUUACUUAAACAUCUAUAUAUUUU